GAAUUUUAGCGCAUCUGUUUAUUCAGAGCGUGACCCUCCACUCUUAUAACAUUGUGCACUUAUUGGCGGAAGCAAAAAUAAUAAUUAAUACUUGCUAUUAAUUAUUGGAUUUACUUCUGCGGCUCACUUUUAAACAUUUAGUUAAAGUAUGUAUUACGAAAUAUCGAAAAACAAAACAAAACUUUCAACAACGGAUCUCUUGGCUCU
RNAcentral lists this unclassified non-coding RNA (207 nucleotides) under rhizosphere metagenome. RNAcentral's name for it is "partial ribosomal RNA internal transcribed spacer region". The record is from RNAcentral.